RNAcentral lists this transfer RNA (77 nucleotides) under Gammaproteobacteria bacterium. RNAcentral's name for it is "tRNA-Arg". It matches the Rfam family "tRNA". Rfam says of the family: Transfer RNA (tRNA) molecules are approximately 80 nucleotides in length. RNAcentral also lists the same sequence under 2 other names. The record is from RNAcentral. Lineage: Bacteria; Pseudomonadati; Pseudomonadota; Gammaproteobacteria.
GCGCCCGUAGCUCAGUUGGAUAGAGCACCAGCCUUCUAAGCUGGUGGUCGCAGGUUCGACUCCUGCCGGGCGCGCCA